Molecule: long non-coding RNA, 1553 nt
Organism: Hipposideros armiger (great roundleaf bat)
Lineage: Eukaryota; Metazoa; Chordata; Mammalia; Chiroptera; Hipposideridae
Exons: 3
Source: RefSeq, a predicted model, not a curated record
UCAUCCCCCAUCACUGUCGCUAGUUUACACGCAGCACGAGCUUUUCAGUAGGGGCAGAACGGCACUGCGGACAGCCCUGGCUAUGGAUGCUCUCGGUGACUGCCACCACCUGACCAUCACUUCCUGGUUUGGGGGACCCUCUUCCACUUCCACUGAAUGCCACUUCAAUGUCAUCAGGCUGGAUCUAGCUAAUAACAGAGUUCAUGAUGAAAAAAGGGCCCUCCAGGCUGGCUUGGAGCCUAUAAGCUGAAGUGCCUGUUUCUGACACACGUCACAAAGUCCUCCAUACUAACAACAGGCCUGUGAAUCUGCUGAUCGUUGCUCCUCUGAUGUCCACUCAGCUAACAUCUCAGUGAACCUUCUCAGAGUCACUGGCUUGAAGGCACCUAUCAGACCAUGACUAGAUCCAGCUUCGCCAUCUGCCAGGCCCUCAAGGUCAAACGCCAGCUCCUCACAAAGCACGUUAGCUCUUCCAGGAUCACCCAACCUCUAUUACCCACUCUGCAAUUUUUCCCACAAGGACCGGGAACAGUGUUCUUGAUUGAGGUCCUGGCCAAGCUGGCUUCUGAGAAGAGACACUCAUGAACCCUGCAGGGGCAUCUGAGGGACAGACACCUGCUAUCUCUGUCCACAUCGACUGCAGCAUGUACGACCCCAGGAGGCCAGGCCGCGGCCACGCUGUCCUUCCCUUCUCUGUACCUUGGCAGCCCACGCGUAAUGCUUCUACAGUACAGAGCCGAAAGGGAUGUCUUUCAGUGACCUGUUUAUGGGGCUUUUCCACCACCCACCCGGCAGGUGGGGCAGGACUGUGUUUCUGUCACCUCUGCAGCCCCAGGCCAGACCCAGGCCUGGACCUGGACUCCUGCUGUAUACAUGGAGGACUACUGGAUGGGAAGGUUGACUCAGGGGGAGCACAACACAUUACAGGGACAUGGCCUGACCUUGGGACACAAGGACCUAGACAAUUCCCAGCUCUGUCCUUCAGCAGCAGCAGGACUCCAGGGUCAGUUCCGGUCCCCAUGGGGAAUGGCUGGAGGAGACAGUCCCUGCUAGUGAGAAAUUCUGCAUUUGGGAAAGGCAGCCUAUAUGAGGGGGCAUGGCCAAUGCUUCAUCAAACCAGAGCCUCUGGCUCUCAGUGGGUAUCCAGGCCCUUCGGGCUGCCUCCAGCUCUCCACCCUGGCAUCGCACCCAGGACUGAUUUCUGUGCCAGCCUUCCCUCAUCACAGGGCCAGGGAAGGAAAGCAGAACAGGAAUCUGCAGACUUGAGUUCUAGUCCUGGCCCCGCUGCUAACCACCCUGGGACUCAUGUCCAAGUUCUGACCCUUUCUAGGUUUGUUUUCUGAGUUGUAAAAGGGGUGGAAUUUCUAACUUGCUGCGUGUGGUGUUAUAAUAAUUAAAUAAUGUAUUGUAAAUAGUGCUCUCAGCACUCAAUCGCUGAAUUAGACAGAAGUCAUCCCAGCUGCAUUCCUGAGGUCGAGCUCUGAACCAAUAAAAGAAGGUACCAGAGGGCCAGCCGAGUGGCGCGAUGGUUAAGAGCUGGCUUGGGAUGUCAG